RNAcentral lists this ribosomal RNA (1343 nucleotides) under uncultured bacterium. RNAcentral's name for it is "16S ribosomal RNA". It matches the Rfam family "Bacterial small subunit ribosomal RNA", at positions 28 to 1378 of the family's 1533-position model. The record is from RNAcentral.
GACGAACGCUGGCGGCGUGCUUAACACAUGCAAGUCGAACGGAAAGGCCCUGCUUUUGUGGGGUGCUCGAGUGGCGAACGGGUGAGUAACACGUGAGUAACCUGCCCUUGACUUUGGGAUAGCUUCAGGAAACUGGGGCUAAUACCGGAUAGGAGCUCCUGCUGCAUGGUGGGGGUUGGAAAGUUUCGGCGGUUGGGGAUAGACUCGCGGCUUAUCAGCUUGUUGGUGGGGUAGUGGCUUACCAAGGCUUUGACGGGUAGCCGGCCUGAGAGGGUGACCGGCCACAUUGGGACUGAGAUACGGCCCAGACUCCUACGGGAGGCAGCAGUGGGGAAUAUUGCACAAUGGGCGGAAGCCUGAUGCAGCAACGCCGCGUGCGGGAUGACGGCCUUCGGGUUGUAAACCGCUUUCGCCUGUGACGAAGCGUGAGUGACGGUAAUGGGUAAAGAAGCACCGGCUAACUACGUGCCAGCAGCCGCGGUGAUACGUAGGGUGCGAGCGUUGUCCGGAUUUAUUGGGCGUAAAGGGCUCGUAGGUGGUUGAUCGCGUCGGAAGUGUAAUCUUGGGGCUUAACCCUGAGCGUGCUUUCGAUACGGGUUGACUUGAGGAAGGUAGGGGAGAAUGGAAUUCCUGGUGGAGCGGUGGAAUGCGCAGAUAUCAGGAGGAACACCAGUGGCGAAGGCGGUUCCCUGGGCCUUUCCUGACGCUGAGGAGCGAAAGCGUGGGGAGCGAACAGGCUUAGAUACCCUGGUAGUCCACGCUGUAAACGGUGGGUACUAGGUGUGGGGUCCAUUCCACGGGUUCCGUGCCGUAGCUAACGCUUUAAGUACCCCGCCUGGGGAGUACGGCCGCAAGGCUAAAACUCAAAGGAAUUGACGGGGCCCCGCACAAGCGGCGGAGCAUGCGGAUUAAUUCGAUGCAACGCGUAGAACCUUACCUGGGUUUGACAUGGAUCGGGAGCGCUCAGAGAUGGGUGUGCCUCUUUUGGGGUCGGUUCACAGGUGGUGCAUGGCUGUCGUCAGCUCGUGUCGUGAGAUGUUGGGUUAAGUCCCGCAACGAGCGCAACCCUUGUUCACUGUUGCCAGCACGUUAUGGUGGGGACUCAGUGGAGACCGCCGGGGUCAACUCGGAGGAAGGUGGGGAUGACGUCAAGUCAUCAUGCCCCUUAUGUCCAGGGCUUCACGCAUGCUACAAUGGCUGGUACAGAGAGUGGCGAGCCUGUGAGGGUGAGCGAAUCUCGGAAAGCCGGUCUCAGUUCGGAUUGGGGUCUGCAACUCGACCUCAUGAAGUCGGAGUCGCUAGUAAUCGCAGAUCAGCAACGCUGCGGUGAAUACGUUCCCGGG